GGGUUGUGAGGUUAAGCGACUAAGCGUACACGGUGGAUGCCCUGGCAGUCAGAGGCGAUGAAGGACGUGCUAAUCUGCGAAAAGCGCCGGCGAGGUGAUAUGAACCCUUGACCCGGCGAUGUCCGAAUGGGGAAACCCAGUGUGAUUCGUCACACUAUCGUUAGCUGAAUACAUAGGCUAACGAGGCGAACCGGGGGAACUGAAACAUCUAAGUACCCCGAGGAAAAGAAAUCAACCGAGAUUCCCCCAGUAGCGGCGAGCGAACGGGGAGCAGCCCGGAGUCUGAAUCAGCUUGUGUGUUAGUGGAAGCGUCUGGAAAGUCGCAGGGUACAGGGUGAUACUCCCGUACACGAAAGCACACUUGCUGUGAACUCGAAGAGUAGGGCGGGACACGUGGUAUCCUGUCUGAAUAUGGGGGGACCAUCCUCCAAGGCUAAAUACUCCUGACUGACCGAUAGUGAACCAGUACCGUGAGGGAAAGGCGAAAAGAACCCCGGCGAGGGGAGUGAAAAAGAACCUGAAACCGUGUACGUACAAGCAGUGGGAGCACCUUCGGGUGUGACUGCGUACCUUUUGUAUAAUGGGUCAGCGACUUAUAUUCUGUAGCAAGGUUAACCGUAUAGGGGAGCCGAAGGGAAACCGAGUCUUAACUGGGCGUUAAGUUGCAGGGUAUAGACCCGAAACCCGGUGAUCUAGCCAUGGGCAGGUUGAAGGUUGGGUAACACUAACUGGAGGACCGAACCGACUAAUGUUGAAAAAUUAGCGGAUGACCUGUGGCUGGGGGUGAAAGGCCAAUCAAACCGGGAGAUAGCUGGUUCUCCCCGAAAGCUAUUUAGGUAGCGCCUCGUGAAUUCAUCUCCGGGGGUAGAGCACUGUUUCGGCUAGGGGGCCAUCCCGGCUUACCAACCCGAUGCAAACUGCGAAUACCGGAGAAUGUUAUCACGGGAGACACACGGCGGGUGCUAACGUCCGUCGUGAAGAGGGAAACAACCCAGACCGCCAGCUAAGGUCCCAAAGUCAUGGUUAAGUGGGAAACGAUGUGGGAAGGCACAGACAGCCAGGAUGUUGGCUUAGAAGCAGCCAUCAUUUAAAGAAAGCGUAAUAGCUCACUGGUCGAGUCGGCCUGCGCGGAAGAUGUAACGGGGCUAAACCAUGCACCGAAGCUGCGGCAGCGACACUAUGUGUUGUUGGGUAGGGGAGCGUUCUGUAAGCCUGCGAAGGUGUGCCGUGAGGCAUGCUGGAGGUAUCAGAAGUGCGAAUGCUGACAUAAGUAACGAUAAAGCGGGUGAAAAGCCCGCUCGCCGGAAGACCAAGGGUUCCUGUCCAACGUUAAUCGGGGCAGGGUGAGUCGACCCCUAAGGCGAGGCCGAAAGGCGUAGUCGAUGGGAAACAGGUUAAUAUUCCUGUACUCGGUGUUACUGCGAAGGGGGGACGGAGAAGGCUAUGUUGGCCGGGCGACGGUUGUCCCGGUUUAAGCAUGUAGGCGGAGGUUCCAGGUAAAUCCGGUACCUUUUAACGCUGAGGUGUGAUGACGAGGCACUACGGUGCUGAAGCAACAAAUGCCCUGCUUCCAGGAAAAGCCUCUAAGCAUCAGGUAACAUCAAAUCGUACCCCAAACCGACACAGGUGGUCAGGUAGAGAAUACCAAGGCGCUUGAGAGAACUCGGGUGAAGGAACUAGGCAAAAUGGUGCCGUAACUUCGGGAGAAGGCACGCUGAUAUGUAGGUGAAGCCCCUGCGGGUGGAGCUGAAAUCAGUCGAAGAUACCAGCUGGCUGCAACUGUUUAUUAAAAACACAGCACUGUGCAAACACGAAAGUGGACGUAUACGGUGUGACGCCUGCCCGGUGCCGGAAGGUUAAUUGAUGGGGUUAGCGGCAACGCGAAGCUCUUGAUCGAAGCCCCGGUAAACGGCGGCCGUAACUAUAACGGUCCUAAGGUAGCGAAAUUCCUUGUCGGGUAAGUUCCGACCUGCACGAAUGGCGUAAUGAUGGCCAGGCUGUCUCCACCCGAGACUCAGUGAAAUUGAAAUCGCUGUGAAGAUGCAGUGUACCCGCGGCAAGACGGAAAGACCCCGUGAACCUUUACUAUAGCUUGACACUGAACACUGGUCCUUGAUGUGUAGGAUAGGUGGGAGGCUUUGAAGUGUGGACGCCAGUCUGCAUGGAGCCGUCCUUGAAAUACCACCCUUUAAUGGCUGGUGUUCUAACGUGGACCCGUAAUCCGGGUUGCGGACAGUGUCUGGUGGGUAGUUUGACUGGGGCGGUCUCCUCCUAAAGAGUAACGGAGGAGCACGAAGGUCAGCUAAUCCUGGUCGGACAUCAGGAGGUUAGUGCAAUGGCAUAAGCUGGCUUGACUGCGAGAGUGACGGCUCGAGCAGGUGCGAAAGCAGGUCAUAGUGAUCCGGUGGUUCUGAAUGGAAGGGCCAUCGCUCAACGGAUAAAAGGUACUCCGGGGAUAACAGGCUGAUACCGCCCAAGAGUUCAUAUCGACGGCGGUGUUUGGCACCUCGAUGUCGGCUCAUCACAUCCUGGGGCUGAAGUAGGUCCCAAGGGUAUGGCUGUUCGCCAUUUAAAGUGGUACGCGAGCUGGGUUUAGAACGUCGUGAGACAGUUCGGUCCCUAUCUGCCGUGGGCGCUGGAGAAUUGAGGGGGCUGCUCCUAGUACGAGAGGACCGGAGUGGACGCAUCACUGGUGUUCGGGUUGUCAUGCCAAUGGCACUGCCCGGUAGCUAAAUGCGGAAGAGAUAAGUGCUGAAAGCAUCUAAGCACGAAACUUGCCCCGAGAUGAGUUCUCCCUGACUCCUUGAGAGUCCUGAAGGAACGUUGAAGACGACGACGUUGAUAGGCCGGGUGUGUAAGCGCAGCGAUGCGUUGAGCUAACCGGUACUAAUGAACCGUGAGGCUUAACCUUACAACGCCGAAGCUGUU
RNAcentral lists this ribosomal RNA (2928 nucleotides) under Leclercia sp. W17. Its description in RNAcentral is "bacterial LSU rRNA". It matches the Rfam family "Bacterial large subunit ribosomal RNA". Lineage: Bacteria; Pseudomonadati; Pseudomonadota; Gammaproteobacteria; Enterobacterales; Enterobacteriaceae. The record is from RNAcentral.